ACAGGGAUUGCCCUAGUAACGGCGAGUGAAGCGGCAACAGCUCAAAUUUGAAAUCUGGCUUAGGCCCGAGUUGUAAUUUGCAGAGGAUGUUUCUGGCGCGGUGCCAUCCGAGUUCCCUGGAACGGGACGCCAUAGAGGGUGAGAGCCCCGUAUGGAUGGCCACCAAGCCUGUGUGAAACUCCUUCAACGAGUCGAGUAGUUUGGGAAUGCUGCUCAAAAUGGGAGGUAAAUCUCUUCUAAAGCUAAAUACUGGCCAGAGACCGAUAGCGCACAAGUAGAGUGAUCGAAAGAUGAAAAGCACCUUGAAAAGGGGGUUAAACAGUACGUGAAAUUGUUGAAAGGGAAGCGCUCAUGACCAGACUUGUGCCGGGCAGCUCAUCCGGGGUUCUCCCCGGUGCACUCUGCCCGGUUCAGGCCAGCAUCGGUUUUUGCUGGGGGAUAAGAACGGUAGGAACGUGGCCCUCUCUCGGGAGGGUGUUAUAGCCUACCGUACGAUACCCUAGCGGAGACCGAGGUUCGCGCUCCGCAAGGAUGCUGGCGUAAUGGUCAUCAGCGACCCGUCUUGAAACACGGACCAAGGAGUCGUCCAUUAGAGCGAGCGUUUGGGUGUCAAACCCGCACGCGUAAUGAAAGUGAAAUUAGGUGAGAGCUUCGGCGCAUCAUCGACCGAUCCUGAUGUUCUCGGAUGGAUUUGAGUAAGAGUUUUAACGGACGGACCCGAAAGACAGUGAACUAUGCUUGUAUAGGGUGAAGCCAGAGGAAACUCUGGUGGAGGCUCGCAGCGGUUCUGACGUGCAAAUCGAUCGUCAAAUAUGAGCAUGGGGGCGAAAGACUAAUCGAACUGUCUAGUAGCUGGUUACCGCCGAAGUUUCCCUCAGGAUAGCAGUGUUGACCUUCAGUUUUAUGAGGUAAAGCGAAUGAUUAGGGACUCGGGGGCGCUUUUUAGCCUUCAUCCAUUCUCAAACUUUAAAUAUGUAAGAAGCCCUUGUUACUUUAUUGAACGUGGGCAUUCGAAUGUACCAACACUAGUGGGCCAUUUUUGGUAAGCAGAACUGGCGAUGCGGGAUGAACCGAACGCGGGGUUAAGGCGCCAGAGUGUACGCUCAUCAGACACCACAAAAGGCGUUAGUACAUCUUGACAGCAGGACGGUGGCCAUGGAAGUCGGAAUCCGCUAAGGACUGUGUAACAACUCACCUGCCGAAUGUACUAGCCCUGAAAAUGGAUGGCGCUCAAGCGUACCGCCCAUACCCCGCCCUCAGGGUAGAAACGAUGCCCUGAGGAGUAGGCGGCCGUGGAGGUUGUGACGAAGCCUAGG
This 1316-nucleotide ribosomal RNA is filed under the name Coniella fragariae. Its description in RNAcentral is "eukaryotic LSU rRNA". It matches the Rfam family "Eukaryotic large subunit ribosomal RNA", at positions 68 to 1414 of the family's 3401-position model. The record is from RNAcentral. Lineage: Eukaryota; Fungi; Ascomycota; Sordariomycetes; Diaporthales; Schizoparmaceae.